UCCGCAGCAGCAGCAGGCAGCUCCU
Molecule: unclassified non-coding RNA, 25 nt
Filed under: Mus musculus (house mouse)
Lineage: Eukaryota; Metazoa; Chordata; Mammalia; Rodentia; Muridae
Description: oocyte_clustered_small_RNA12719
Source: RNAcentral